This is a long non-coding RNA of Papaver somniferum (opium poppy), 2594 nucleotides long. RefSeq lists it as uncharacterized. Lineage: Eukaryota; Viridiplantae; Streptophyta; Magnoliopsida; Ranunculales; Papaveraceae. The record is from RefSeq and is a predicted model, not a curated record. The transcript is spliced from 2 exons.
GCCAGGUGUAAUUUUCGAGUCCGUCACCCAUUUACUAGGUCUCACUAAUCAGGAAUCAUCUAUGGUUGAAUCUAGCAAUCGAUUUAUAAGAGAGUUAGUUCUGCAUCUUCAUAUGUGAAUACAAGAUCCAGUGAUAGAAAACAAACUGAUGGAGUUGAGAAAUUAAUUCUUCCAUUCUUGGAUGGAACUGAUCCUGAAGGUUGGAUCUAUAAAGCUGAAUUGUAUUUCGAAUUUUAUGGAACACCACCACUACAACAAGUUAAAAUUGCAAGUUUUCAUUUUGAUGUAAGGCUUUACAGUGGUAUAAAUGGAUAAAAUCGAUUGAGCCAAUACAAACUUGGGUAGGGUUUUCAACUGCUUUGCUUAAAAGAUUUGGUAGAAAUCAUUAUGAUGAACCAGCUGGGUCAUUCACAAAAUUGAGUCAAAUGGGUUGUCAAGAUGAUUACAAAGAAGAGUUUAUAGAAGCAACGAAGAUUGGUAGCAGAAUUCAGCCUAGUUUUCUCAAUUUCAUCGGAAGAAAACCUGGAUAAAUCUCUUGAUUCUGAGAUGAUUCCUUCGUUCUUCUUUGAUGCAGACAAUUUAAUAAGCCUAAACCAACAUGAAGGAAAACCCAUCACUGAAUUGGGUAAUUCUAUUGAAAUUAAGGUCUUCCAAUUGAAAUUUCUUCUAGUAAGAUGGUACUAAGCUACAACAAGCGGAGAUUCAGUUAACUAUUGAGGUGGUGAAUUUUAAGUACUUGAAGGCGAUAAAUAGAAACGUCCUAUUAAUCUGUCAAUUUGGAUGAAUGGACUCAGUGGAAAGCCUGAAUACUGUUUAGAAGUGUUAUUUGAGUCUUCAAAUGUGUUUGUGUUUGUCAAAAACGGGGAGAAGCAUAAUGCUUGCAAGUUAUUUGAUAUGAUAUUACAGUUGGCUCUCUGGUUUAAAUUGAUACUUCAAGUGACAAGGGAAAUUGAAUUUGGUAAUGCCCCGGAAGUGUUUGUUGAAAUGUUUGUGAAAACUGAAUUUGUAUUACUCUUGUUAGUUAUAUGAGUUGAGAUUGCAAAGCCACUAGGACAGUUGGGUAGAAUGCUUGGGAAUAUGUUGUGGAGUUGGACCGGUUAUGAUGAUAAUAUUCUCUUGCAACUCCAAAUUGGUUUACAUAAUGCCAUGUGAGUCCUAUUUGGCGAAUUGUCGAAAGGUGGAUGCGAUGGAAAAUGGGCAUGGGAAGGUGCUGCCAAUACACUUGAAGGAGUUUGAGUAUCUUCUAAUUCUUCUUUCAGUUCUCAUAAAUGUGAGAGAUCACUUCUAUCUUACAGAAAAUGAGUUCCUCCUGGCUCUGUCUUUUACUUGUUGAGAAAAUUCGGAAGAGAAUUUUUCAUUCCAAUUGGAUUAAUUUGCACACACUUAACUAUGCUCCGUAUGCUACUUCUUGUUAUAACUCAUCGCUAGGUUCAUACAAAAUUGAUUUCGCUUGGUAUUUUCUUCCUUGUUCCAUUUACAUAUGGGGAUAUAGCUGUAUCGAUUGUAUACUUGCAAGGUUAGUAGCAAUUCUUCUCACCAUUGUAGCAUUCCAGUUUGUGGUUUGCUAGAGGAGGAAAUCAGCCGCAACUUAUGAUGCACAGUUCCAUUGUGUACUGCUGGUGGGUGUUCUUGAGCAGGGAUGGAUUUUAAAUAUUUCUGCACCAGUGUCUUUUCUAAGUGGGUAUAAUGGUAAGUGGGAUGUUUGUGCUUCUAAAACUUUAGCUCGUUAUGGUACUGAGAUUACAAUUCGUGAGCUUCCUUUUCACCCUGUCGGCUCGGAAACCAUUGGUGGAGUUGACAGAAAUGUGAUAUCCGAGUUGCGUUGCUAAUAGUAGAUUGUUGUAUGGAACAUCUUUUGCAGACAAAUUUGAGGAUGCAAGGAGUAAAAAGAUUCUGGAAAAUAAGAUUCAAGAAAUAGUUAAAUUAAAUGGAUUUACAAGUGGUUACUGUCAAAUGAUAUGGUUGAAAUAAAUAGAGGCAAAGGGAAGGUAAUUGGACCCAUAAAAUUGAGUUAGCCCGAAUUAAUGGGACAAAACCGAAUUUUUCUGUAAAAGAUCAGUCGGUACUCGGUAGCUACAAGUGGUAGAGAUAGGUGGCCUAAUAUUCCUGGGAAGGAGCUGGAUAUCACGUCUGCCGAAGCUUGUAUCUUGGAUGAACUGCCCAAGAGGCGUGCAACUCCAACUACAGCUUCUUAUUUGGAUGCAAAAUCCACGAAAACUCCUCGACAUACAUGCAGCAGUCUGCAACUAGCAUACAGGCAGCAGUCCACAGCUCGAAGAGUGUUUGAUGCCCUAAAUUGGAAAGGGCUCUAUUUCUGACGACAACUUCGGACUUCGGUGUUGGCUGAUCAAGUAGAUGUAAUUUGCAAAUGAUGACAUAUUGGUCGCAGCUUAAACCUUGAGGACAGGAAUGAUAGGACUCGGCCACAAACGUGACCAAGGAUGGCUUAUUAGAGUUACCGCGGCAUUAAUUUGUCCAUCUGCUUGCCUCAUUUGUUUGUUUAUUUGUUUUUAUUUAUUAUCAUAGUCAUGUAAAUAGUUUUUCGUGGAGUAAAAGUGUAAACAGAUAAACACUCAAUAUGGGUAUUAUUUGGA